ACAGAGGGGGCGAGCGUUGUUCGGAAUUACUGGGCGUAAAGGGCGCGUAGGUGGCCUGUUAAGUCGAACGUGAAAUCCCCGGGCUCAACCCGGGAACUGCGUCCGAGACUGGCAGGCUUGAAUCCGGGAGAGGGAUGUGGAAUUCCAGGUGUAGCGGUGAAAUUCGUAGAUAUUGGGAAGAACACCGGUGGCGAAGGCGACCAACUGGACCACAACUGACGCUGAGGAGCGAAAGCGUGGGGAGCAAACCGGA
RNAcentral lists this ribosomal RNA (253 nucleotides) under uncultured prokaryote. Its description in RNAcentral is "partial 16S ribosomal RNA". It matches the Rfam family "Bacterial small subunit ribosomal RNA", at positions 525 to 777 of the family's 1533-position model. The record is from RNAcentral.